This is a non-coding RNA of Ciona intestinalis (vase tunicate), 171 nucleotides long. NCBI's taxonomy places the organism in Eukaryota, Metazoa, Chordata, Ascidiacea, Phlebobranchia, Cionidae. The record is from RefSeq and is a predicted model, not a curated record.
UCUUCAAAUACGAUAGCGAAGAUCGAAUUAAUUAAAACAAAGAAGAGAAGGAAAUUAGCAGCGAAACUACAGUCGCUAAAACACGCUAUACGACCGUGGAUCAAAACUACUUGAGUAAAAGUGUCAAAUAAAAAUAAAAGCGCAAUGUGUUGAAUUUCUAUAUUAUAAAAC